CCGGCGCGGGCUGCGGCCGGCGGCCCUUGGACUCCAGCUCCGACUUCAGCCGCUGGUUCUCCACCAGCGCGUGGGAC
RNAcentral lists this transfer RNA (77 nucleotides) under Corallococcus macrosporus DSM 14697. Its description in RNAcentral is "Myxococcus macrosporus DSM 14697 tRNA-Trp". Lineage: Bacteria; Pseudomonadati; Myxococcota; Myxococcia; Myxococcales; Myxococcaceae. The record is from RNAcentral.